AGUUCCUGUUUGUGCCAGGUGCUCGAGGCUGGAACCAAGAGAAAAAACAGAAAUUUUCGUCCCUGUACUUCUCCUCGGGACAGCCACAGCUCCACGGCUCCAUGGCUAUUGGCCCCAUGCAUUUCACAGUCAUCUCUACAGAACAUGACUGGAGCUCGACCAGCGAACAAUACGCUUGGAUGAAAUCUGACCUUGAAUCUGUCGGCAGAUUCAGUACACCAUGGAUAGUUUUCACAGGUCAUCGACCUAUGUACUCCACUCAACUGCGGGGGAUUUAUUUCUAAACUUUACCAGGUGUGGAUCCGAAAUUUGUAGCAGCUGUGGAACCAUUGCUCUUGAGAAACAAGGUUGAUUUAGCAGUGUGGGGGCAUGUUCACAAUUACCUGCGAACUUGUGCUGUGUUUCAGGGCGCUGCCUGCAGCACCCGAUCAAGGAUUUAGCAGGCGUCGAUUUCUUUGACACUACAAUUUACUCAGCUCCAGUUCACACCGUGGUUGGCAUGGCUGAAUUCACCUUGGAUGACUUCCCUCAUAAUUUUAGUUCAUGGAGCUUGAUUCGAAGGUCGGCAUUUGGAUAUGCAAGAGUGACAGCUGAUAAGACAAAGCUACUGUUUGAGUACAUUACAACGGACGGACAGUAGCUGACCGAUUUAAAAUUGCCAGGCUAGAUUGGGGAUUUUCCAGGCCAUGAACGAUUUCAAGCUUUACAAGUUCAAUAGUUGGCUUGUAGAGCUUGCUGAUUUACUUGACACUGCCAAGAGCUCUUGCUUUGCUGCACA
Selaginella moellendorffii is the source of this 778-nucleotide long non-coding RNA. RefSeq lists it as uncharacterized. The record is from RefSeq and is a predicted model, not a curated record. The transcript has 6 exons. Lineage: Eukaryota; Viridiplantae; Streptophyta; Lycopodiopsida; Selaginellales; Selaginellaceae.